UACGUAGGGUGCAAGGCGUUGUCCGGAAUUAUUGGGCGUAAAGAGCUCGUAGGCGGUCUGUCGCGUCUGCUGUGAAAACUCAGGGCUUAACCCCUGAGCUUGCAGUGGGUACGGGCAGACUAGAGUGCGGUAGGGGAGACUGGAAUUCCGUGGUGUAGCGGUGAAAUGCGCAGAUAUCAGGAAGAACACCCGUGGCGAAAGCGGCUCUCUAGGAACGGU
Molecule: ribosomal RNA, 219 nt
Filed under: uncultured bacterium
Lineage: Bacteria
Description: partial 16S ribosomal RNA
Rfam family: Bacterial small subunit ribosomal RNA
Source: RNAcentral